RNAcentral lists this ribosomal RNA (417 nucleotides) under uncultured Gammaproteobacteria bacterium. RNAcentral describes it as "bacterial SSU rRNA". It matches the Rfam family "Bacterial small subunit ribosomal RNA", at positions 9 to 429 of the family's 1533-position model. The record is from RNAcentral. Lineage: Bacteria; Pseudomonadati; Pseudomonadota; Gammaproteobacteria.
GAGUUUGAUCUUGGCUCAGAGUGAACGCUGGCGGCAGGCCUAACACAUGCAAGUCGAGCGGCAGCGCGGGGGCAACCCUGGCGGCGAGCGGCGGACGGGUGAGGAAUACAUCGGAAUCUACCCAGUCGUGGGGGAUAACGUAGGGAAACUUACGCUAAUACCGCAUACGACCUGAGGGUGAAAGCAGGGGACCGCAAGGCCUUGCGCGAUUGGAUGAGCCGAUGUCCGAUUAGCUAGUUGGUGAGGUAAAGGCUCACCAAGGCGACGAUCGGUAGCUGGUCUGAGAGGAUGAUCAGCCACACUGGAACUGAGACACGGUCCAGACUCCUACGGGAGGCAGCAGUGGGGAAUAUUGGACAAUGGGCGCAAGCCUGAUCCAGCCAUGCCGCGUGUGUGAAGAAGGCCUUCGGUUGUAAG